This 361-nucleotide ribosomal RNA is filed under the name uncultured eukaryote. RNAcentral's name for it is "partial 18S ribosomal RNA". It matches the Rfam family "Eukaryotic small subunit ribosomal RNA", at positions 592 to 976 of the family's 1831-position model. The record is from RNAcentral.
CAAUAGCGUAUAUUAUUGAUGUUGCAGUUGAAACGUUCGUAGUCGAAGUUUGUCUGCUUAGGUGUUGUCGCGUCCAAGACGCCUCCGCUCCGUCAGCAGAGAUUGCAGCUCUGGCGUGCGUUUCGUGCGGCUGUGUUGCGGGUUACUUUGAGUGAAUCGGCGUGUUCCACGCAGGCGUUUGCCUUGAACGAUUUACCAUAGUAUAGGUAGAAUAUGGAGGUAUUCUUUCGUGUGUUCGGGAGUACUUUCGAAACGGAAAAGAACGGUCGAGGGCAUUCGUAUUCAACUGCUAGAGGUGAAAUUCUUUGAUUGGUUGAGGACGGACUAUUGCGAAAGCAUCUGCCAAGUACGUUUCUUUUGA